GACGAACGCUGGCGGCGCGCCUAACACAUGCUAGUCGAACGAGAGAUGAGGAGCUUGCUCUUCAAAUCGAGUGGCGAACGGGUGAGUAACGCGUGAGGAACCUGCCUCAAAGAGGGGGACAACAGUUGGAAACGACUGCUAAUACCGCAUAAGCCCACGGCUCGGCAUCGAGCAGAGGGAAAAGGAGCAAUCCGCUUUGAGAUGGCCUCGCGUCCGAUUAGCUAGUUGGUGAGGUAACGGCCCACCAAGGCAACGAUCGGUAGCCGGACUGAGAGGUUGAACGGCCACAUUGGGACUGAGACACGGCCCAGACUCCUACGGGAGGCAGCAGUGGGGAAUAUUGCACAAUGGGGGAAACCCUGAUGCAGCGACGCCGCGUGGAGGAAGAAGGUCUUCGGAUUGUAAACUCCUGUUGUUGAGGAAGAUAAUGACGGUACUCAACAAGGAAGUGACGGCUAACUACGUGCCAGCAGCCGCGGUAAAACGUAGGUCACAAGCGUUGUCCGGAAUUACUGGGUGUAAAGGGAGCGCAGGCGGGAGAACAAGUUGGAAGUGAAAUCCAUGGGCUCAACCCAUGAACUGCUUUCAAAACUGUUUUUCUUGAGUAGUGCAGAGGUAGGCGGAAUUCCCGGUGUAGCGGUGGAAUGCGUAGAUAUCGGGAGGAACACCAGUGGCGAAGGCGGCCUACUGGGCACCAACUGACGCUGAGGCUCGAAAGUGUGGGUAGCAAACAGGAUUAGAUACCCUGGUAGUCCACACCGUAAACGAUGAUUACUAGGUGUUGGAGGAUUGACCCCUUCAGUGCCGCAGUUAACACAAUAAGUAAUCCACCUGGGGAGUACGACCGCAAGGUUGAAACUCAAAGGAAUUGACGGGGGCCCGCACAAGCAGUGGAGUAUGUGGUUUAAUUCGACGCAACGCGAAGAACCUUACCAAGUCUUGACAUCCCUUGACGAUGCUGGAAACAGUAUUUCUCUUCGGAGCAAGGAGACAGGUGGUGCAUGGUUGUCGUCAGCUCGUGUCGUGAGAUGUUGGGUUAAGUCCCGCAACGAGCGCAACCCUUAUGGUCAGUUACUACGCAAGAGGACUCUGGCCAGACUGCCGUUGACAAAACGGAGGAAGGUGGGGAUGACGUCAAAUCAUCAUGCCCUUUAUGACUUGGGCUACACACGUACUACAAUGGCGUUAAACAAAGAGAAGCAAGACCGCGAGGUGGAGCAAAACUCAGAAACAACGUCCCAGUUCGGACUGCAGGCUGCAACUCGCCUGCACGAAGUCGGAAUUGCUAGUAAUCGUGGAUCAGCAUGCCACGGUGAAUACGUUCCCGGGCCU
Molecule: ribosomal RNA, 1332 nt
Filed under: uncultured bacterium
Lineage: Bacteria
Description: bacterial SSU rRNA
Rfam family: Bacterial small subunit ribosomal RNA
Source: RNAcentral